GAUGAACGCUGGCGGCGUGCCUAAUACAUGCCAGUCGAGCGAACAGACGAGGAGCUUGCUCCUUUGACGUUAGCGGCGGACGGGUGAGUAACACGUAGGUAACCUACCUAUAAGACUGGGAUAACUUCGGGAAACCGGAGCUAAUACCGGAUAAUAUUUCGAACCGCAUUGUUCGAUAGUGAAAGAUGGCUUUGCUAUCACUUAUAGAUGGACCUGCGCCGUAUUAGCUAGUUGGUAAGGUAACGGCUUACCAAGGCAACGAUACGUAGCCGACCUGAGAGGGUGAUCGGCCACACUGGAACUGAGACACGGUCCAGACUCCUACGGGAGGCAGCAGUAGGGAAUCUUCCGCAAUGGGCGAAAGCCUGACGGAGCAACGCCGCGUGAGUGAUGAAGGUCUUCGGAUCGUAAAACUCUGUUAUUAGGGAAGAACAAACGUGUAAGUAACUGUGCACGUCUUGACGGUACCUAAUCAGAAAGCCACGGCUAACUACGUG
This 497-nucleotide ribosomal RNA is filed under the name uncultured bacterium. RNAcentral's name for it is "partial 16S ribosomal RNA". It matches the Rfam family "Bacterial small subunit ribosomal RNA", at positions 28 to 507 of the family's 1533-position model. The record is from RNAcentral.